CGGCGAGCUAGGCGGGGGGCUGCCCCUCCCCUGUAGCCACAAACGGGGCUUACGGUGGGCCGAAAGUCCGGAGGCGGCGCUGGAACCGCACGCACGCGCCGUUCCUCCACGUUGAAGCCUCGUCUCGCUGGGCCGGCGGUGGCGGGGUCGCGACCGGAGGGUCGUUGGCUAACCGCCUUUGCCUGCUGAACCCCGUUAGGCCCGGAAGGGAGCAGCGGUAGGCAGGACGUCCGGCGCUGGCGAUCAACGGGGUGGAGAUGGGGGAACGGCAAACGGCGUCGGGGAAGGCGUCCACUUCGGACACGCUCGCCG
Molecule: signal recognition particle RNA, 312 nt
Filed under: Hadesarchaea archaeon
Lineage: Archaea; Methanobacteriati; Hadarchaeota (SeqCode); Hadarchaeia (SeqCode)
Also listed under: 1 other name
Description: signal recognition particle sRNA
Rfam family: Archaeal signal recognition particle RNA
Source: RNAcentral